GGAGACUUGUCCGAGUGGUUGAAGGAGCACGCCUGGAAAGUGUGUAUAGGGGAAACUCUAUCAAGGGUUCGAAUCCCUUAGUCUCCGCCA
Molecule: transfer RNA, 90 nt
Filed under: Bacteroidota bacterium
Lineage: Bacteria; Pseudomonadati; Bacteroidota
Also listed under: 1 other name
Description: Bacteroidetes bacterium (activated sludge metagenome) tRNA-Ser
Rfam family: tRNA
About the family: Transfer RNA (tRNA) molecules are approximately 80 nucleotides in length.
Source: RNAcentral